Molecule: non-coding RNA, 184 nt
Filed under: Alcanivorax sp.
Lineage: Bacteria; Pseudomonadati; Pseudomonadota; Gammaproteobacteria; Oceanospirillales; Alcanivoracaceae
Description: 6S RNA
Rfam family: 6S / SsrS RNA
About the family: E. coli 6S RNA was the first non coding RNA to be sequenced, but its function was unknown until recently. It consists of 184 nucleotides that fold into an extended hairpin structure with a large single-stranded internal bulge.
Source: RNAcentral
UGCUUCCUGGCCCGUUCGCCAGAGGGUCAUGUCCCCGAGCCGAUAAUGUAAUACCCGGGGGCAAAUAUUGCCCUGCCUGUGUGCAUGUCCGCCUAUUGAGCGGAAAGCCUGAAGGUGGGGUUGCUGCCUCCACCUUGAACCUGCGGUUCAAGGGUCAAACCCGCAGCGGCGGACCGGGAAGCAC